GAUGAACGCUGGCGGCGUGCCUAAUACAUGCAAGUCGAGCGAACAGACAAGGAGCUUGCUCCUUUGACGUUAGCGGCGGACGGGUGAGUAACACGUGGGUAACCUACCUAUAAGACUGGGAUAACUUCGGGAAACCGGAGCUAAUACCGGAUAAUAUUUCGAACCGCAUGGUUCGAUAGUGAAAGAUGGUUUUGCUAUCACUUAUAGAUGGACCCGCGCCGUAUUAGCUAGUUGGUAAGGUAACGGCUUACCAAGGCGACGAUACGUAGCCGACCUGAGAGGGUGAUCGGCCACACUGGAACUGAGACACGGUCCAGACUCCUACGGGAGGCAGCAGUAGGGAAUCUUCCGCAAUGGGCGAAAGCCUGACGGAGCAACGCCGCGUGAGUGAUGAAGGUCUUCGGAUCGUAAAACUCUGUUAUUAGGGAAGAACAUACGUGUAAGUAACUAUGCACGUCUUGACGGUACCUAAUCAGAAAGCCACGGCUAACUACGUGCCAGCAGCCGCGGUAAUACGUAGGUGGCAAGCGUUAUCCGGAAUUAUUGGGCGUAAAGCGCGCGUAGGCGGUUUUUUAAGUCUGAUGUGAAAGCCCACGGGCUCACCGUGGAGGGUCAUUGGAAACUGGAAAACUUGAGUGCAGAAGAGGAAAGUGGAAUUCCAUGUGUAGCGGUGAAAUGCGCAGAGAUAUGGAGGAACACCAGUGGCGAAGGCGACUUUCUGGUCUGUAACUGACGCCGAUGUGCGAAAGCGUGGGGAUCAAACAGGAUUAGAUACCCUGGUAGUCCACGCCGUAAACGAUGAGUGCUAAGUGUUAGGGGGUUUCCGCCCCUUAGUGCUGCAGCUAACGCAUUAAGCACUCCGCCUGGGGAGUACGACCGCAAGGUUGAAACUCAAAGGAAUUGGCGGGGACCCGCACAAGCGGUGGAGCAUGUGGUUUAAUUCGAAGCAACGCGAAGAACCUUACCAAAUCUUGACAUCCUUUGACAACUCUAGAGAUAGAGCCUUCCCCUUCGGGGGACAAAGUGACAGGUGGUGCAUGGUUGUCGUCAGCUCGUGUCGUGAGAUGUUGGGUUAAGUCCCGCAACGAGCGCAACCCUUAAGCUUAGUUGCCAUCAUUAAGUUGGGCACUCUAAGUUGACUGCCGGUGACAAACCGGAGGAAGGUGGGGAUGACGUCAAAUCAUCAUGCCCCUUAUGAUUUGGGCUACACACGUGCUACAAUGGACAAUACAAAGGGCAGCGAAACCGCGAGGUCAAGCAAAUCCCAUAAAGUUGUUCUCAGUUCGGAUUGUAGUCUGCAACUCGACUACAUGAAGCUGGAAUCGCUAGUAAUCGUAGAUCAGCAUGCUACGGUGAAUACGUUCCCGGGUCU
RNAcentral lists this ribosomal RNA (1372 nucleotides) under uncultured bacterium. RNAcentral describes it as "bacterial SSU rRNA". It matches the Rfam family "Bacterial small subunit ribosomal RNA", at positions 28 to 1381 of the family's 1533-position model. The record is from RNAcentral.